GCCCUUGCCCAGAGUCUUCCCGGGAUUGGCUGCGGGCCUCGCGACCCUCCUGCUUCCCUCCCCGCCCCGCGCCGCCUCUCUGGUUUGUGCGCCCGUCGCAGGUCGCAGGCCUCUUUGUCAGCUGGAGUUGCGCGGGCUGACGCGCCACUAUGUAGCGGGUUUCGGGCGGGCCACGCGUGCGGGACAGGAACCCAACCCCAGCCGACCUUGAGCUCCAGGAGUUCGUCUCUUACGUCUGCGGAAGUGCAGCUGCCUCAGUUCUUAGCGCAGACUCCUGAAGACUCUCGCUUUUAGCCAUAUGGGUGAAGGGUGAUCUGCACAUCCAUUCAUGCUCUUAAUCAGACAACAGAUCCAAGGCCCGACACUGCUGUAACCAUCAGCACAUGCUUGAAGAUGAUGCUGACACAGAGGACAGCAAAGCCAGUCAAGUCACAAGCACAUGGAGUCAUAGGCACUGGAUUUAAUACUUUUGAAGCAGGUUCUACUUCAGGACUUUCAGUGAGGUAAAUCGAUCAAUUUCCAGACUGAGUCUCACUCUGCCGCCAGGCUGGAGUGCAGUGGCACAAUCUUGGCUCACUGCAACUUCCACCUCCAGGGUUCAAGCCAUUGUCCUGCCUCAGCCUCCCAAAUAGCUGGGACUACAGGUUUCAGAGAGUGAUUCAUCCUAAAUCCUGCUUCUCCCUAUAUGGCAUGUAAACCCUUCCAGAUUCCUGGAAACUACAUCCUGGUUGUUUAUCUCAGCAAGGUGAGCCGUCGACCGAAGGCUCGUGACCACUAUCUCGAAAAGCAGGCUUUAAGCAGUCUUGAAUUUGAAUCUGAGCUCCUCACUUCUUGGCUUAAGCAUGUCUAUGAAUCUUCUGAGACCAUCUCCUCAUCUGCAAAAUACCAUAGAGAGUGGAGCCAAGAUGGCCGAAUAGGAACAGCUCCGGUCUACAGCUCCCAGCGUGAGCGACGCAGAAGACGGGUGAUUUCUGCAUUUCCAUCUGAGCACUGGUGGUCCGGUUCCUCACCAAACGAUUCAUCGGUGACUAUGAAAGAAAUGCAGGUAAUCUCUAUACUAGACAAGUUCAGAUAGAAGGUGAAACCCUGGCUCUUCAGGUUCAAGACACUCCAGGUAUUCAGGUCCAUGAGAACAGCCUGAGCUGCAGUGAACAGCUGAAUAGGUGCAUUCGCUGGGCAGAUGCUGUGGUGAUCGUUUUCUCCAUCACUGACUACAAGAGCUAUGAACUCAUCAGCCAGCUCCACCAGCACGUGCAGCAGCUACACCUGGGCACCCGGCUGCCUGUGGUGGUCGUGGCCAACAAAGCUGACCUGUUGCACAUCAAACAGGUUGACCCUCAGCUUGGACUGCAGCUAGCCAGCAUGCUAGGCUGCUCAUUCUAUGAAGUGUCUGUCAGUGAAAAUUAUAAUGAUGUCUACAGCGCCUUCCACGUCCUCUGUAAAGAGGUCAGUCACAAACAGCAGCCUAGCAGUACACCCGAGAAGCGAAGAACCUCCCUCAUUCCCAGGCCCAAGUCACCCAACAUGCAGGACCUGAAGAGGAGGUUUAAGCAAGCCCUCUCUGCCAAAGUGAGGACUGUCACCUCCGUCUGAAGCAGGAGGAGCACUCAAGGGGGUUUGGUCUUCCCAGGAAGAGGGCCUGAGGUUCUCCUAGUGCAGGAACGUUGAAUAUUGGCAAUGAUUCCUGGUUCCAGAAAGGGCUGGAGCAGAAGGGCCAAGAGGGCCUGUGGAACUGCUACAGAAAAGGAAGUGUUGUUCUGAGCAGGGGGACAGGAUUGAUGAGGCUUGAAAGAGCCCACUGAGCCACUCUCUGAAUAUGUGAAAUGUACUCUGUGUCUUUUCCUUUAGAGUGGGGAGGGGGCAUAAUCGUUUCGGUUUCUGCAUUCAACUACCUUGUAAAUGGUGGUCCGUUGCAGUUUCACCAAAUGUAUUGAUGUGAUUUACAGUGGGAAUGAAAGAACAGAUUAAGCAUUGAUAGGCUUUCUUUUUUCCCCCUUUUUUCUUUUUUCUCUUUUCUUCUUUCUUUUCCUCUUUUUCCCCAAGAGGAAGAAUUGCUUUUCUCUUACCAGUAUGAUUUGUAACUCUGGAACACUAUUCUUACAGAAUGCCUUUCUAACCUGAAGGAUACCCAGAUUUCUUUCUUUAUGUACAAGAUGGAAAAUCCCCUACCCCUCAAAAACAGGUUGAGUUUAUGGGCCAGAAUAUUUUGUAUACCAGACAUUGGUAAGCUCUCAUGGUUUACAGGAAGGCUCUGGUUCCCCCUCACAGGAUGAGCAUGCUCAGUUGGGCGUGUGUGGAGGAGCUGUGAACUUCACGCUCUUCAACCCCAGACUUUGACUGUAUAGUUUUUUGUUUUUUUAACUGUUCCAUCAGGAAAAAAAUGUGUCAGUUGAUUUUGGUGUGACUUGUGUAAAUGGUUCAUGGCAAUGACGUUGGGUUGCUUCCUAGGCCUGGCUGAGUUGUGCCUAAGGGUGGCUGAAAUACUAAAACACUUAUCUUACAGCAAGUGAACAGGGGCUACCUGCCACAUCCCCUCCACAGAUGCACUUUAAAAAGCCACUCAUGCUUUGGCUUAAACUGUAAUUAAUUUAUUUUAUGUACAAUAAAUC
Long non-coding RNA from Homo sapiens (human), 2609 nucleotides. Ensembl annotates it as long intergenic non-protein coding RNA 1618. NCBI's taxonomy places the organism in Eukaryota, Metazoa, Chordata, Mammalia, Primates, Hominidae. The record is from Ensembl.